AACUGGCGGAUUGGCCACUGAAAUCGGUUCACCCGUGAAGUUCGGCAACAUCGCGCUCACAUGCUAGAAAUGGCCCCAAAAACCUAAAACAUUUUGUAAUUGUGUAGCCUGGUCUGGUCUGCGCUUCUUUUCUACUCGCCGCUUGAAACAAAUCAAAUUCCUAGUACGUUUUCCCUUCAAACAUAUGCGACGAAAUGAAAGAGCACUGAGAGAAAAUAGUAGAUAAAAUAAGGUAUAUAAAAAUAUUAAAAAAAGAGGACUUCUAGGACUAACUCAAAGAGAUUUCUUGAAACUAAAGGUCUAACAGUGGACUUGGGGUCAGGGUCGUCAUGAGGGCUCAAGCCCCAGGGCCCAGGACCUGAGGGCGGGCUCCCUUCCCGGCAAGUGCAAAAUAAUGGCCAAGGAGGAACAACAGCAGCAAAAGAAACUCAUACAUAUUAUAUUUUGUACCUCUCGCUACCCUAACUGCACAACAAAAACAGAAAGCGGAAAAAAAUGAAUAAAUGGCAGGAGGGUGGUGGGGUUUCAUGGGGUGGUGGGAGUGAUGGGGUGACCACCCCAAGAGCCAAACCCCAAGCAACUCGGCAUCACCAUUGUGACAUUUAAGAGGCUCGAGAGAGCAGAAGCACAGGCCGCUAGCUAGAAACAAAACCCACGCACAUACCACACCAUACCAUACUAUACCCACCCGGUAGCCACGCCCCCUUAUAGAGUAGAGACCCCCUGGACCACCCACAAUCCCGGCUAUUCCCGGAGCAACCCUCGGGGGAAGGCCGCCAUUAAAGGUGUGAGGCGGCGGCUUGCAGAGUCGAGUCGAGUUGAGUCCUUUGCUCUGUGUGUGGCCCCUCAGGAGCGCCAUGGGUGAUGCUGUACACAUCUGUAUAUAUAUAACUAUACAUACCUACUAACUAUAUAUACUUAUAGGUGGGUAUUUAUGAGCCACAGCCUGGGAGCAGUGCAUACUUUGCGGUAUUGGCAUUGGUGCUGCUUAAAAUAAUUAAAAAUCAAUAUUUAAACUAUGCAGAGGAGCAGGAUCCGCAGGAGCAGCAAAGGAGAUAAAACUUAUUUAAUCUUUAAACAAAUAUUCAUUUUAAAUGGCUUUUAUUUUAUCAUUUAUUCCAAAAGUCUUACCAAAUAAAAUAAAUAUAAAUGUGAGGCA
Drosophila ananassae is the source of this 1159-nucleotide long non-coding RNA. RefSeq lists it as uncharacterized. The record is from RefSeq and is a predicted model, not a curated record. Lineage: Eukaryota; Metazoa; Arthropoda; Insecta; Diptera; Drosophilidae. The transcript has 2 exons.